This is a non-coding RNA of Styela clava, 222 nucleotides long. Lineage: Eukaryota; Metazoa; Chordata; Ascidiacea; Stolidobranchia; Styelidae. The record is from RefSeq and is a predicted model, not a curated record.
UCAUCGUCUGUGUUGUAAUUGUUGGGUUUGUAUUUAUUGGGAUAUAUUGUCAUAGAAGGAAACUUGGCCAAAAGAAAAUGUUCAUAGAUGACGUGAAUAUGCAAGAAUUACAAGAUAAUGUGAAUGAUGACCACUUGUACGCAAAUAUCGCAAUGGAUAAAAUGGAACCGAGGUCACCUUACGAUAUUCCACUUGAGCAACUUCUCGAAAGGUACAAUCGUU